UACGAAGGGGGCUAGCGUUGCUCGGAAUUACUGGGCGUAAAGGGCGCGUAGGCGGAUAGUUUAGUCAGAGGUGAAAGCCCAGGGCUCAACCUUGGAACUGCCUUUGAUACUGGCUAUCUUGAGUACGGGAGAGGUGAGUGGAACUCUGAGUGUAGAGGUGAAAUUCGUAGAUAUUCGGAAGAACACCAGUGGCGAAGGCGACUCACUGGCCCGUUACUGACGCUGAGGCGCGAAAGCGUGGGGAGCAAACAGG
RNAcentral lists this ribosomal RNA (253 nucleotides) under uncultured bacterium. RNAcentral's name for it is "partial 16S ribosomal RNA". It matches the Rfam family "Bacterial small subunit ribosomal RNA", at positions 524 to 776 of the family's 1533-position model. The record is from RNAcentral.